UACGAGAGGCCCAAACGUUAUUCGGAAUUACUGGGCUUAAAGAGUUCGUAGGCGGCAUGAAAAGCAGGGUGUGAAAGCCCUCGGCUCAACCGAGGAAUUGCGCUCCGAACUGUCGUGCUUGAGGAACCUAGAGGUGAGCAGAACUGAUGGUGGAGCGGUGAAAUGCGUUGAUAUCAUCAGGAAUACCGGAGGCGAAGGCGGCUCACUGGGGGUUUUCUGACGCUGAGGAACGAAAGCCAGGGGAGCGAACGGG
Molecule: ribosomal RNA, 253 nt
Filed under: uncultured bacterium
Lineage: Bacteria
Description: partial 16S ribosomal RNA
Rfam family: Bacterial small subunit ribosomal RNA
Source: RNAcentral